UGAAGUAUAAUUCUCAAUUAGAGACAGUGAAGAUAAUGAUAUGUCAAGAGAAGACUUACCAUUGGGAAGAAUAUGAUAGUAAUCUUCUUGUUUUUCUUUGGGGUCUAUUGGGUCAACCAAGGAUAAUUCUGUGGCCAUAUGAUAUCUAUCAUAACCUAGACGCAUGGCCUCCCAUGUACGAAGGUUUCCUUGAGCACUUCUCAAAGAUUUUAGUUUCUAAAACAGUUUUUGACUAUACCUUUAUGUAAGGUGUCACUGUGAGGUGCUGUCUACGGUUGGGACAUGUGUCACAUUUGGUAUAUAUUUGUAUCCAAACUCACAGCAUAUGUGUUGUUGUAUUUUUUACGAUAAUUGUUGUAAUAAAAUUGUAGUUAUUUUCUGUACCAUGUAUUUGACGACUCAAAAUAGAUUGGAUGGAAUGGACCUAUUUUA
Molecule: long non-coding RNA, 432 nt
Filed under: Panax ginseng (ginseng)
Lineage: Eukaryota; Viridiplantae; Streptophyta; Magnoliopsida; Apiales; Araliaceae
Description: long non-coding RNA (PGIN_LNC008968)
Source: RNAcentral